AACAAUUGUCACAUAAUGCUAUAAAGAUAAUCUUACAAAAACAAAAUUAAGGGUCUCAAGCACUAUUUCUGUAAAAAAAAAUCUGACUACUUUCUCUAUGUAGGUCAUCCCUUAGUCUUUAACAUGGAAGAAAGAAGACAAGCUUUAAUUUAUAAAUUUCUAAUAAUUUUCAAAUUAUUCCUGGAGAACAUCACUGCUGCCAGUGUUUUUACAGUUAUAAUAUUAAGCUAACCAUCCUAAUCCUCCUCCUCUUAUUACAAAUGCUGUUUUCUCUUUCUCAGUCAUUUACAGACUUGUAGAAAUAAUUAGGAAGCCAUCGGUUCCUUGGUAUCACUGUUGAACAGUUCAUUCACUCAGUAGCUAAUUCCUGAAAAACCUGUGUAGCAGGCCCAGUGCUACAGCUAGGGAUGAAAGGUGAACAGCACAGGUCUUAGAUCUGCCGGCUUAUGGUCAUGCAGAGUUGUUGACUGUAGAAUUUGUGGUAAGCGGUAAUUGUGUGUGUGUGUGUGUGUGUGUGUGUGGUUAGCUAAUACAAGUGUGAGAGGAAAAAUAAAUAAGUAUCAGAACAAGCCCAAAUCCUUUAUCAGCCCAUUCCCUGUCAGUCUUCCCUUAAAAUUCUUCGUUCUGUGAUUUCUAAACUAGUCUUCAGGACUCUGAGGUGCCUUUCUGUGCUCCUCUUUGGUAACAGCUAGAUUUCCAUAUCAGGGUUUGUUUCUUUGUUUUCCUGCAGUUCCAUUCCUAUGGAGAGAAAUAGCUUAUUUCAUUUCAAAAUAGGUGAGAAAGUUCUGGAAAAUGUGAUAAAUCAGCUGUUAUAAGAAGCUAAAAUCCUUCAUGUUAACUGUAGGUCUUCCUCUCACUCUCCCAGAGCACGUCUUGGGGGGCACAAGAAGAAAGCGCAUCUCCUUUCUGGGGCUCAGUCACUGCUGUCAGUGCUCCCACACUGGAGGCCUGGGCCCUUGUAACCACUGGGGGUGCUGUCAUCUCAUGGAUUUUACAGAGAUUGCUUCUCACUGGGUACUUGACUUUUGGCACUGGGGACAUCUGUGUCACAGGAGAGAGACCCCCAAGCAAAGCAGCACAUAUUGUGAUGAAAGCAAAAGCUGUCUGGGACAUCUCUCCUCAGAGCACAUUGCUGCAAACCCCGCUGUGACUGGACCCACGUACCCAGGAGAAAGAGCUGCGAAAGAAGAGGCUGGGAGCAGCUGGAGCCUACACCAUGCUACGCUGAACCAACUCCAAAGCCCUGACUGAGAGAGCUGAGUGCAGAGAGCUGCCUAGCCAAGACUGUGAUGUUUCCCCAGGGACUCAGCCAGGCUGCUGCCUCCCAGUAGGAAGGUGAGCCAGCAGACUGAAACCUGCCCUCUCCUCCCAUCCUCCAGGCUCCUUCCAGGCUCUCCAUUGAUGCAGCCUAGCCAGAAGCUGGAAGUCAAUGGAGACCAUUCAUAUCAAUCCCACAGGCCAGCCUCCGGGCUAGAAAGCAGGCAGAAAGUGGUUUAGAGAGGAUCCUAAGAAGCAAACAGAAGACACUCAACUUGCCCAUAAAAUGGCAAAUCCCAUGCUGCUUUGGAAGCUGUCCCUUCCUUUUCUUUACUUUGACUCUUGGCUUUUCCAAGCUCCUACAAACUCCGGCUAUUUGCCUGAAGGUUGUCAGUCAUGACUGGCCGUGCUUUGACGCAUGUAAGAUUUUCUGGUAGAUGUGCAUUCAGCUAUAAUUGCCUGUGAGUUACUGAUAAAUGUUUUAAGUUCAUCAUCUGGAUCUUGGGUCCAGCCUGUUAAUACAGUUGGUAUCAUGGGGAAGGAAAUGUCUGAGUAAGGAAGAGGUGAUUACUACUCAUGUGCAACAGGACGAUGACAUCUCAUGAAGAUCUGCUUGCUUUACAGGUUGAAAUAGCUACAGUGUAUGCUCUGGAGACAAAAUAGGCUAGGACAAACUAUUGUUCCAACUCUAGAAACCCAGAGCAAACCUGUCUCAAACAAUGGGUAAGCAAUAAAGUCCCCUACUGCUAAAAGAUAAACA
This is a long non-coding RNA of Oryctolagus cuniculus (rabbit), 2017 nucleotides long. Lineage: Eukaryota; Metazoa; Chordata; Mammalia; Lagomorpha; Leporidae. The record is from Ensembl.